CCAGAGCAAAGUUGGCCACAUUUCUUAUUUUCCCAAGUAAGUAUUGAGCACCUGCUGGAUGCCUGGCCCUUGGACUGGGGCUGCAGCUGGGCGAGAAACGUGAGGUCUCGGCAGGCCCAGACAAAGCGAGGGAAGCUGCGGCUCCGGACCAGGUCACCGAGCAGAAGGGAAGCCUGGAUCCUCUCCCCUCCCUGCGCUCUUCCUUCCCCUUCCCUCCUUCCUCCGGGCUGCAUCUCCUUGGCUCCACCCCUUCUCAUCAAUUCCUCCCACACUUCCCUGCUCUCCCUGGCUUUUCACUGGAGGGUCCCUUCUCCCAGCGAGGAGCAGAUGCCGAGCCCCAUUGUCUCUCCCCCAAUGACUGCAGCCUCCCAGGGAUAGGACCAGCCACUCCUUCCCCUCCCCCCAGCCCAAAGGCCUGGGUCUUUACUGACAGGCGCCCCAAGGCCACUGCCCCUCGCCCCACCCUACACCAGCUCACGGAGCUGUGAGCAAUGACUCCAGUCACUCAGAACAUGAUUUAUUUCUGGCAAGGAGUGAGAAAACAGAAGCCAGAGAGUUUGGUUCAGCAAGAAGGACCCGACCCCGUGAUUUCAGGCUUAGCACACUGGGCCUCUAGUGACCCCAGCAUCUUCACUACCCUUGCAGUAGGGAAUGCAAGAAGCCACAGUUGUGUCAUUACCUGCCCCUCUCCGGAACAUGAAAACCAUAUUUCCCCCCAAAAAAGACAAAGUCCUCACUGACAGUCAAACAGUCAUUCAACAACCAUUUGCUACAUGCCUGCUCUAUGCCAGUUUCCCAGCCUGGUACUAAGGACCUAACCACCAGGGAGACCAUCUCCUUGUUCUGGCUUUGCAAACUGGUAGAAGCCAGAGAGAUUUGGGCCUCAGUCAGGCAUCAUAGUGCCAACACUUGGAAAGCUGAGGCAGGAGGAUUGCCAGGAGUUUAAGGCAAGCAGGGACUACAUAAUUGAAUAUCAAUCAGGUUGGCCAGGGCCACUAUGGCAAGACCUUGUCUCAACAAAACUAAAUAGAGGGAGGCACAGUUGUACAUAGACUGUAAUCGCAGCUUCUAGACGGUAGAGACAGGAAGAACAGAAGUUCAAGGCCAGCCCCAGCUAUAUAGCCAGUUCCAGGGUGGCAGGGGCCAGAGCCAGGUGUGGUGGCACAGGCCCUUAACCCCAGCACUUGCAGGGCAGAGGCAAGCAGAUCUUUGUGAGUUAGCUAGCCUGGUCUACAUAGUUCCUGGACAGCCUGGUUUCUACAGAUCUUAUCUCAAAACAACAAAAACUUGGGAGGGAACAAUUUGCCUAUAGGGCAAGAAGGGACAUUCUUCUAGAUUCAAGGAACCGUUUUAGAAGCCAGGCCUGGAAGUACAUGCCUUCAAUCCUGGCUCUGGGGAAAUAGAGGCAGAUGGAGCUCUGUGACUUUGAGGCAUCCUAGUCUACAUAAGGAGCCCCAAGCUAGCCAAGACUUUGUGGGGAAGUCCUGUUUUUAAAAAAGGAAGGAAGAAAGAGAAAAAACUUCAGGUACUUGGAGUAAUAUAGAAUGCACACUAGGGAAUGAGGGUGGUUGUGAGCACAGUUGGGGGACGGGGUUAGUGUCAAGGAAAUAGUCAAAGUUUAUUUCUUUUUUCUUGCCAGCUUCCUGCUCUUCCAAAUGACUAACAGGAAAUCACUUAGACCCAGUAGCCUGACAUAUAGAAACGGAGGUAAUGAAGGUUGGGUGUGAUGUUAUAUGCCUUUAACCCCAGCACUCCAAGACAGAAUCAGGCAUAUCUUGGGAGUUUGUGGCCAGCCUGGUCUGCAUAGCAAGUUCAUUGGGGGUGGGGGGAGAUGAAUAAAAGCAAGUAAAUAAAAGGACUGAGGCAGAAAGAUAAAAGUUGAAGGCCAGCCUGGGCUACAUAUAGAGACCAUGUCCCAAAAUAAAAUGUAAGAAAGAGGGCUGGAGGGGUUGGGGAUUUAGCUCAGUGGUAGAGCACUUGCCUAGGAAGCGCAAGGCCCUGGGUUCGGUCCCCAGCUCCAAAAAAAAGAACCAAAAAAAAAAAAAAAAAAAAAAGAAAGAGGGUUGGGGAUACAGUGGUAGAGCAACUAACCAGCAUUCGUGAGCCACCAACAUAAAUAGCUAAGUUCAAGGCCAGCUUGGGGUACAUAGUGAGGCCCUGUUUCAAACUAUUGAGGAGAGGGGAUAAAGUGUGUGUGGGAGAGAGAUCUAGAGGUUCUAGAGUGUCUUGUGUGCAAAUGGUCAGACUUAUGUGCCAAGUUGGUCAGUGACCUCGUCUAUAAGGUAGGGAUGCAAAUCCCUGCUUCCCAGUGUGCAUGGAGGCCUAAAGGAGCCCACACCUUUUGUGCUAUUUGGUACAUAAGCACAACAGCACAUAGUAGCUUUUAUUCAUUUCUACUGUGACAUGGGGGAGUGGCAGGGAGGUGUCCUUACUGCCUAAAAAUGAGAAGAUGGGGUGAAACCAGAGUGACUCACAGGCUGCAAAGGUAAAGAACCAGCUGUGGCAGAAACAUUCCUUCAAUGGUGCCUUGUGUCCCAGUGGGUGGCUGGAAUGGGGGACACCCACAUCUGCUCCAAGGUGGCCAGGGUGUGUCAUCUCAGAAGCAUGACAGCCAGAUCACUGGAGUUCUAGCCUGCCUGGGGAACACAGGAAUCCGUGGUGGAUGAGCCCUAUGAAAUCUGCAUAGGCUCCUAAGAGCAGGGAAAGAAAUGGACUCCAAUCCACACAGGGUGGGAGGGGGCUCUUGAGUUCCCAGAGUCCAAGACUCUCUUCCAAGACUCUUGUCCUUUACCAGGGCCCUGAUUCUGGGCACACGGAAGAGGAACGUCACAGCAGCAAAAUGCUGGUGGACAGACGGUGAUCCGAGGAGACGCCAGGGUUCCACUUCCUCCAUUGUGGAUAUUACGCAUUUCUGCAGUGUAGUUUAUUUCAUUGAAGUACUGGGAUAGAAUCCAGGGCUUCCUACGUGCCGAGAAAAUAUCUCCAGACCACCUUUCUCCUCUUUCCUCAGGUCCUUCCUCCCCCCUUCUCCAGGGUCUCAGGAAGCCCAGGCUGGUCACAAAGUUGAACUCCUGAUCUUCUGACUUCCUGUCCCGAGUGCUAGGAAUACAGGUGUCUGCCAAUACACACCUGACAUUUUCUUUCCUUCUUCAUAGCACAAAUACAUUGGGAAAAAGUUGAGAAUCAAAUAGGACUCAAGUUUGAUUCCCAGCACCCACAUCUGGCAACUCACAACCACCUGCAACUCCAGCUCCCAGGGAUCAGUGUCCUCCUCUUCUGGCUUCUGAGAGCACUGACAUGUAGAUGACAUAUACAUUUAAAAAAAAAACUAUACAGGAAAACAAUUGUCAUCAAUGCAUCCCCAACUCAAAAGGCACACAUGCAUUUACCAUAUACACAUCUAAAUAGAUAAAAGUACAAGGAAGCAAAUGUGAUUUUUAGAAAUGAAUUUAACUCACUUUAACUCUAGGGUUGCCACCAUUUUGGUCCAGUAAUACGUUAUAAAUAUCUUUUCUGUCUGUAAACACCCACAGUAACAUUCACAACAGAUCGCACUGUUUCAUGGUAUCUUUGUAUACAAAUUGUUGGGAUAUAUGCAGAUUUUCAAUGUUAUAAAACUGCUAUGAGGCAGAAACAGUGUGGGUGUAAGUCUUUAAUCCCAGCACUCGGGAGACAGAGACAGGCAGCUCUCUAUGAGCUUGAGCCUGGCCUACAGAGUGAGUCCAGGACCAAGGCUAUGCAAAAGAAACCCUGUCUUUAAAAACAACAACAAAACCAAACAGCCAAAAAGAAACUGCUGAUAAACUUUUUUAUUUUGCUAUUGUUUCUGUUUUUAAAAAGCUACAAUUAGCCUUUAUUUUCGUUUUGGAAUUGAUUGAUUUAUUUUGUUGGGGUGUGUGCAUGCCACGGUCUUCUACCAUGUAGGUCCCUGGGAUGGAACUCUGGACCUCAGGCUUGGCUGCAGUCCCCUCUUAUCUGCUGAGCUAUAUCAUCAGCCCUAGUGUGUCUUUUGAAACAAGGUUUUACUAUGUGUCUUGGGCUGGCCUUGAACCCACUCUGGCCUGGAACUCUCAAGAUCCUCCUGCCUCUGCUGGAAUAAGAAGCAUUAGACAUUUUUUGUACUGUCUUUUGUGCCAGGCUUGCACUGCACUGUAUCAUAACUAAGUCAGAAUUUGCAGAUGAGGCAUCUUAUGGGGUUUUCAGUGCAUGGCCUGGUUCAUAGGAGCAGGGUCCCUCAGGAUCUUCUCUGUCUUUGUCUCUGUCUCUGUCUCUUUCUCUCAGAUGGGUUUCAUCUAAUCCAGGCUGGUCUCGUACUUGCUUUAUAGCUAAGGAUAACCUUGAAAUCUGAAUCUUUCUGCCGCUGCCUCUCGAGUCCUUCCGGGAUCCCGAGUAGCUUCGCACCACCUUUCUUACCUAUUACCUCCCUGAGAGAACCUGUCUGGGCAGAUGCCUCACCUUCUACACUGACAGUAACCAAAAUAAUUAAUGUUCAUUGCUUGGAGUUGCUGGAAAGAAUGAAAUUUAGCAACUAGAGACAGAAAACACCAGACACUGUGUCUUGUAAAUUGUAAAGCUCCUUGGUGUCAGGCCAUCCCAGUGAGGGCCAAGCUCAGGUGUUACUGUUUAGCUAAACACCCUCCCUGAUUUACUGUAAGCAGAGGAGAAUCUUCCAGAUUGACACUAGAGAGGGAUCAGUGACACAUGUAGGCCCCUUUCCAGCAUUUUGGAAGCCCCGAAGUGGUCUCCCCUAGGUAAAAUUUGAAGGUAGGUGUGUUUUAAGGUUCAUGAAUCAAAAAAAAAAAAUUUUUUUUUUUUUAAUGAAUCCUCACUUUCCUUAUGGGUCUUGUGUAAGCCAAGAAAAGAGAUGGAGUGCACCCCUCCCUCGCCCCUGAUUCCACUGACAUCCACUAGAGUGAUCCUAUGGGGAAAUUAAUUGGUGCUUAUUUAGUAAGACCCGUGUCUCUUGCCAGAUGCUCUUGACCCAGCACUGGAAAGGCGGAGGCAGAAGAAUCUCUGAGUUCAAGGCUAGCCUGGCCUACACAGUCUUUUUUUUUUUUUUUUUUUUUUCUUCCGGAGCUGGGGACCGAACCCAGGGCCUUGUGCUUGCUAGGCAAGCACUCUACCACUGAGCUAAAUCCCCAACCCCCUACACAGUCUCAAAAUAAAAAAAAAAAUAAUAAUAAAAAAAAAAAAAACCAACAACAACAAAAAAACCAAACCAAAACAACAACAAAACAAAACAAAAGAAACCAAGACCAGUGUCUUCCAUAGGACAAGCCAAUGGAGACUUUUAGAGGAUAUCAGCAGUAUCUAAUUGUAAUAUCUAAUAUUCCAUGUUUUCUUAGUUUUUGUUUUUUCUAGGCAGAUGUUUCUCUGUGUAGUCCUGGCUAUCCUGGAACUCACUCUAUAGAUCAGGCUUGAACUCCAGAGAACCACCUGCCUUAGCUACAUGGUGAGUUUGCAGCCAGCCUGUGAGUCUCUGUUUUCCUUCUCCUCUCUCCCAGAAAGAAAAAGAAAACUAACAAAGUCAGUUGUGGUGCUGUGACGCAUGUCUGUAAAUCCCAGUAUAGUGGGAGUGGGAGACUGGAGAACUAGGAGCUCAAGGUCACCCUCAGGUACAGAGUGAGUUUGAAGCUAGCUAGCUAACCUGAGCUAACUUCACACCCCACCCCACCCCCCAGAAAAAGAGGAAGAAACAUUUGCCACAGAAAAGUUUCAUAAUGGCAAUAAGCAGGCAACGGCCGGCUUCCUUAAACAAAUGAGUAAUAUGUAAAGAAGACCAUGAUUACAUUAAUUAAUGUGGGAGGGUAGGUUGAUGGGAAGAAGCUGGGUCCAUAGUUUUAUAUUACAGAUUAAGGGCAGUUUGGGCUGGAGAGACGGCUCAGUGCUAAAAUCAAUACCGAUUUUUAUUCUAGAUAGGACUUCUCUGUGUAACCUUGGCUGUCCUGGAGCUUGCUCUGAAGACUAGGCUAGCCUUGAACUCACAGAGAUCUGUCAGCCUCUGCCCCUGGAGUGCUGGAAUUAAAAGUGUGCGCCACCAUGUCCAGUUUAAAACUAUAUUUUAAAAGGGAAAGUUCAAUGGUUCUACCUCUUGGUUUUUGUUUUUUGUUUUUGUUUUUUUUUUGUAAGUCUAGUUCUAGAAUUUUUUUUAAAGAUUUAUUUAUUUUUAUUUAUGAGUACACUGCAGCUGUCUUCAGACACACCAGAAGAGGGCAUCGGAUCCCAUUACAGAUGGUUGUGAGCCACCAUGUGGUUGCUGGGAAUUGAACUCAGGACCUCUGGAAGAGCAGUCAGUGCUCCUAACCACUGAGCCAUCUCUCUAGCCCUAGUUCUAGAAUUUUUAUUUUAUUUUUUUUCAUAACAUGGGAAUUGAACCUGGAGUUCUGCACAUGCUGGGUAAGAACCUGAUCACUAUGCUAGGUCCUGAGCCCUCUCUUUGCUUUAAUUAAAAAAAUUAUGUAUAUAUGUACGUGGGAGCCUGUAUGUCUGUAUACCAUGUGUGUCCAGUGCCCAAGGAGGCCAGAAGGAGGCAUGGAGCCCUAGGCUUAGAGCUAGAAGAGGCUGUGAGCCACCUUGUGAGUGCUGGGAGUUGACCCUGGGUCCUCUGGAAGAGCAGCCAGUGGUCUUAACUGCUGAGCCAUCUCUCCAGCACUUUCUGCUUUUGAUUGUGUUUAUUUUUUAAGAUUUUAUUUUCUCUCUGUGUGUGUCUGAGUGUUUGAAGGGGCACCACGUGUGCAAAUGUUUGUGGAGACUAAAAGAGGACUUCAGAUCUCCUGGAACUGGAGUUAUAGGCUGUUGUGAGCUGCCCGACAUGGGUGCUGGGAGCCGGCCCUCUGGAGGAGUAAGCAUUUUUAACUGCUGAAUCAUCUCUUCAACCCCUUGCUUUUAAAUCUUCAGAUAUCAUGCUAAGUUACCCAGGAUGCCCUUGAAUUCCCUCUGUAUCCUAGGCUGUUCUUGUUCUGCCUCUGCUCUCUAACAGCUCGCAUUAUAGUCCCACAGUACCAGGCCCUGAAAGUUCUAGAAGUCAGAGAGAAGAAUUCAGUCUUCCUAGUAGGAAUGUUUACCGAAGUGUUUAGUAUGUUAGCAAAAAUGGAGAAUAAAAAACGAGAACUGAAGGAAGAAAGGAACCCACAAUUUGGGCAUGCCAGGCAAACGCUCUGCCAUUUAGUGAGUCAUGCCCUUAAUGGUCAAGGUUUAAAAAAUGCUUCAGAGUGGAGAACGUUCCUAACACCCCUAAGAAGAUAGUAAAUUUUACAUAAAUCAGAAUCACAUAUUUGUAAGUUUGUGUAUACAUGUAUCUUACAAAUCUUAUAUGUAUUUUUCUAUGUAAGAAAAUGUACUUUAAAAAGUUAUUUCCUGGGGCUGGGGAUUUAGCUCAGUGGUAGAGCGCUUACCUAGGAAGCACAAGGCCCUGGGUUCGGUCCCCAGCUCCGGGAAAAAAAAAAAAAAAAGAACCAAAAAAAAAAAAGUUAUUUCCUGCUGGGCAGUGGUGACACAACUCCAAGCCCAAAACUCAGGAGGCAGAGGCAAGUGGAUCUUGGAUUUCCAGGCCCCUCUGGUCCUCAGAGUGAGUUCCAGGACAGCCAGGGCUACCCAGAGAAACUCUGUCUCAAGACAACAGCAACAAAAAUAUAUUGUCUUAGUUACCUUCUUAUUGCUAUGAUAAGACAUCAUGACCAAGGCAACUUAUAAAAGUGUUUAAUCUGGGGUUUAUGCUUUGGUUUCAGAGGAUUAGAGUCUGUAGCCAUCAUGGAGGGGAGCAGGGUGGCAGGCAGGCAGGCAGGCAGGCCCUGGAACAGCGGGUGAGCGCUUACAUCACGAUCAAAUUGAGGCAGAGAGAACUAAUUGAGAAACCUCAAAGCCCAGCCCUGUGACAUUCCUCCUUCAACAAGGCCAUGCCUCCUAAUUCUUCCCAGUUUCACCAACUGGGAAGCAAGCAUCCAAAUAUAUGUGUUCAUGGGUUUAUUCUCGCUAUGUUGUUCCCAUUUUUCCGGCCCCAUGGCUCAGUGUGUGAGAGCUCUUGCUGCCAAGUCUCACUAACCGUGUUCCAUCCCAGGACCCACACGGUGGAAGGAGAGGACUAACCCGUCCUCAUAUCUAUACACACACACACAUAUAUGCAAGAUAAAUAAAUAAUAAGUAGAAUUUUAAAAAGUUGUCAGUUACUUCUAUUCAUUUUAUAAGUGUGUUUUUAAUUUAUUUAAAAAAUAUUUCAUUUGUUUGUGGUUGGUUUGGUUUUUGUUUUUUUGAGACAGGGUUUCACUGUGUAGCCCUGGCUGUCUUGGAACUCUGUAGAUCUUACUGGACUCGAACUCGUAGAUCUGCCUGCCUCUGCCUCUCAAGAGCUGGGAUUAAAGGCCCAGUUUACUUAAUUUACUUGUAAUUGUGUGUGUGUGUGUACUCUGAGUUCAGAUCUUCCAGAUCCCCGGAGAACUGAACACAAGUCCUGUAAGAACAGCAAGUGCUCUCAAUGACAGGGCUGUCUUUCCAGCCCUUUGUUUUCUGUUAUAGAGGAUUUGUCAGAUUUCUUUUUUUUUUUUUUUUUUUUUGGUUCUUUUUUUCGGAGCUGGGGACCGAACCCAGGGCCUUGCGCUUCCUAGGUAAGCGCUCUACCACUGAGCUAAAUCCCCAGCCCCGUCAGAUUUCUUUAAUGAGCAGACAUUUUUCCUCUUUCUUGAACAAGCUGUAUUUCUCCCCUCCCACGUUUAGCUUUGCUAAAACAUCUAACAUCUGGUAGGUAAAGACUGCACACAACUCUUGUAUGAAGCUUGGUAUGUUUGCAAAUGUGUGUGCCACAGGUCACGUCACAGCAGUCAAGGUGAUUUACAAGUACAUCUCUCCUUUCCAGAACUUUCCUUGUGUUCUUGUUUUGCUUUAAUGGUCAUUAUUUUUGUUUUCAUGUUUCAUUGCUCUGAAACAACUAUUUGGAUAUUUAGAAAACCAGGCAUAAGCUUCUUUUGCAUUCUCCUGCUGGUGGCAAAGGCAUCCUGCAGACCCUUCUUUUGCAUUCUCCUGUUGGUGGCAAAGGCAUCCUGCAGACCCUUCAGGGAGCUUCCAGUUUGUGGGAGAAGCCGCCGGCAAAUAGGGGUUAUGUUGUAUUUGGAGAACUGGGCGGAAAGAGGAACCAGCCCUCUGGUUGCUGAUUUAAGCUCUGGAUGGAAUAGAGUAUCUAUUGUGGAAGUGUAUUGUGCAAAA
Rattus norvegicus (Norway rat) is the source of this 9195-nucleotide non-coding RNA. The record is from RefSeq and is a predicted model, not a curated record. NCBI's taxonomy places the organism in Eukaryota, Metazoa, Chordata, Mammalia, Rodentia, Muridae.